Molecule: transfer RNA, 72 nt
Filed under: Bacteroidales bacterium
Lineage: Bacteria; Pseudomonadati; Bacteroidota; Bacteroidia; Bacteroidales
Also listed under: 3 other names
Description: tRNA-Thr
Rfam family: tRNA
About the family: Transfer RNA (tRNA) molecules are approximately 80 nucleotides in length. Their secondary structure includes four short double-helical elements and three loops (D, anti-codon, and T loops). Further hydrogen bonds mediate the characteristic L-shaped molecular structure. tRNAs have two regions of fundamental functional importance: the anti-codon, which is responsible for specific mRNA codon recognition, and the 3' end, to which the tRNAs corresponding amino acid is attached (by aminoacyl-tRNA synthetases). tRNAs cope with the degeneracy of the genetic code in two manners: having more than one tRNA (with a specific anti-codon) for a particular amino acid; and 'wobble' base-pairing, i.e. permitting non-standard base-pairing at the 3rd anti-codon position.
Source: RNAcentral
GCUGCUUUAGCUCAGUGGUAGAGCGCAUCCUUGGUAAGGAUGAGGUCCUGAGUUCAACUCUCAGAAGCAGCU